Molecule: ribosomal RNA, 1505 nt
Filed under: metagenome
Description: bacterial SSU rRNA
Rfam family: Bacterial small subunit ribosomal RNA
Source: RNAcentral
GGGUUUGAUCCUGGCUCAGGAUGAACGCUGGCGGCGUGCCUAACACAUGCAAGUCGAACGAACUGGUAGAUAGCAGAUGGCCGAAGGCCGAUAGCUUGCUAUCAGCCCAAAGCUGUCAGUUAUCAGCCGGUUAGUGGCAAACGGGUGAGUAAUACGUAGGUGACCUGCCCCGAAGAGGGGGAUAACUGCUGGAAACGGCAGCUAAUACCCCAUGUGAUCAUGAGGGUUAGAGGCCUCAUGAUUAAAAGCUCCGGCGCUUCGGGAGGGGCCUGCGGCCUAUCAGCUAGUUGGUGAGGUAAAGGCCCACCAAGGCAAUGACGGGUAGCUGGUCUGAGAGGGCGAUCAGCCACACGGGCACUGAGACACGGGCCCGACUCCUACGGGAGGCAGCAGUGAGGGAUAUUGCGCAAUGGGCGAAAGCCUGACGCAGCAACGCCGCGUGGGCGAUGAAAGCCUUCGGGUUGUAAAGCCCUUUUCUGGGGGAAGAGGAAGGACGGUACCCCAGGAAAAAGUCCCGGCUAACUACGUGCCAGCAGCCGCGGUAAAACGUAGGGGGCAAGCGUUAUCCGGAUUCAUUGGGCGUAAAGCGCGUGCAGGUGGUGCUUUAAGUUGGGCGUGAAAUCUCCUGGCUCAACUGGGAGGGGUCGUUCAAUACUGAAGCACUUGAGGGCAGGAGAGGGAGGUGGAAUUCCCGGUGUAGUGGUGAAAUGCGUAGAUAUCGGGAGGAACACCAGUGGCGAAGGCGGCCUCCUGGCCUGCUCCUGACACUAAGACGCGAAAGCUAGGGGAGCGAACGGGAUUAGAUACCCCGGUAGUCCUAGCUGUAAACGAUGGAUACUAGGUGUGGGUGGCAUUGACCCCAUCCGUGCCGUAGCUAACGCGAUAAGUAUCCCGCCUGGGGACUACGGCCGCAAGGUUAAAACUCAAAGGAAUUGACGGGGGCCCGCACAAGCAGCGGAGCGUGUGGUUUAAUUCGAUACACGAAGAACCUUACCAGGGCUUGACAUGCUGGUGGUACGGACCCGAAAGGGCGAGGACCCGCAAGGGAGCCAGCACAGGUGCUGCAUGGCUGUCGUCAGCUCGUGCCGUGAGGUGUUGGGUUAAGUCCCGUAACGAGCGCAACCCUUGCCGUAUGUUACAUGUGUCAUACGGGACCGCCGGCGAUAAGCUGGAGGAAGGUGAGGAUGAUCUCAAGUCAGCAUGGCCUUUAUGUCCUGGGCGACACACACGCUACAAUGGCCGGUACAAUGGGUAGCCAAGCCGCGAGGCGGAGCCAAUCCUCUAAAGCCGGUCUCAGUUCGGAUUGCAGUCUGCAACUCGACUGCAUGAAGGUGGAGUUGCUAGUAACCGCGCGUCAGCCAUAGUGCGGUGAAUACGUUCCCGGGCCUUGUACACACCGCCCGUCACGUCAUGGGAGUCGGCAACACCUGAAGCCGGUGAGCUAACCGAAAGGAGGCAGCCGUCGAGGGUGGGGCUGGUGACUGGGACGAAGUCGUAACAAGGUA